ACGGCAGUGAUGAGGCUCUAACAUAUAAGUAGGAUCCCUAUGUGGGUUUCUUCAAUGAAAUACACAUGUUACGCUUGGCUUCUGAGCUUU
Small nucleolar RNA from Medicago truncatula (barrel medic), 90 nucleotides. It matches the Rfam family "Small nucleolar RNA R24". Rfam says of the family: snoR24 is a C/D box small nucleolar RNA which acts as a methylation guide for 18S ribosomal RNA in plants. The record is from Rfam. NCBI's taxonomy places the organism in Eukaryota, Viridiplantae, Streptophyta, Magnoliopsida, Fabales, Fabaceae.